Lacerta agilis (Sand lizard) is the source of this 1245-nucleotide long non-coding RNA. RefSeq lists it as uncharacterized. NCBI's taxonomy places the organism in Eukaryota, Metazoa, Chordata, Lepidosauria, Squamata, Lacertidae. The transcript has 11 exons. The record is from RefSeq and is a predicted model, not a curated record.
UUAUUCUGAUUGACUAGCUUUCCUCCAGCCCCUCCUGCCCCGGAGAAAACGGGCUUCUUGUCAGGCUCAGAAGGUGAAGACGAUACUAUUUGCAGAGGGUUUUAGAAAUGGUUUGGUACUUACAGAAGGAAGGUGUUUGGGGUCUGCAUUUGCACUUUAUGCUGCAAUAUGGCCUAGUUGAUUCUAUACUAUGUAUUUCAGUCCAGCUCCCUAGCAUGGCGAAACAGGCAUCCGUAAUGCGGCUGUAUUGAGACGAGUUCUGAAGCAAAAAAGGUCGUAAGGCGACUUUGAAGAUCUUCUUAGUUACAUUCCUGAUAAUGUCCAAAUGGUUGAAGGUUCUCCAGUUUUGAGUUAACUGCUGAAAGAGAUACAGUGGAAACUGAUGGAGAGGAGUGGCCUAAGCUUCACAAUACACUGAUUAAACGGGGGAAUGUUCUGAAGAACUCUUCUGCCUGUGUGAAGCAAGUGCUACACGCUCUGGAUUGGGGCAAAAAAGGAACACAGACAACAUUUUAAGUUGGUGGUGAACAUCUUGAAGUUCAACAGUUGUAUGUGAAAGAUGUGAAGUUGCAGCCUUGCCCAGAAGACAUUCAACUUAUAGUGGAAGAACCUGAAUGAAAAUUCUGUGACACCUGGAUAUUAAAUAUAAUUUUUGGUUACAAUAGAUGUAGAUUCUUCAGAUGUUUGAGUCAAAAUGAAAAUGCUGAGCAUGUACACCAUCCUCAUACCUAACAGUUAUUCAACAGGAAACAGGUUUUCUAGUGUGGUCCUUCAUGGUUUUUAUGCACAAAUUAAAGAAAUAGGAAGAUGGGUCCUCUGCAAGAGUUAGGUUGGUGCAAAAGGCACUCUUUCCUGUCGUUUAUUCAAAUAGAUGGGAAAAAUAGUUUAGGCAGUAGCAAGUUUUCAGUUAAGAUGCCAUUUCUGGAUAAGGAGUAGUAUGACCACAACUGGCAUUGAGAAGUAAUUGUCCAAGUAAUCUUGACUUGGAUGUCUUUGGUGAUUGUGCUUAUAUUUCUAUUCUUUUUUUUAAUGGGCUACCUACCCUAGAGUCUCAUGAAAAGGCCAAGCGAUAGGAGGUGGGGAAGUUGUAAUAACACCCCCCUUUUAUGCCAAGGCUGGAAGGACAAACACCCAUCAUUGGUGGUCUGAAGAUCUCCUUUGUUUGACAAUCUUGUUUGGACAUAGGGUUGCUUAUAAAUGUGUCUUGUUCCUAUAUUGUAAACUGCCCUGUAUUCCUUGGAUGAA